GACGAACGCUGGCGGCGUGCUUAACACAUGCAAGUCGAACGAUGAUGCCCAGCUUGCUGGGUGGAUUAGUGGCGAACGGGUGAGUAACACGUGAGUAACCUGCCCCUGACUCUGGGAUAAGCGUUGGAAACGACGUCUAAUACUGGAUAUGAUCGCCGGCCGCAUGGUCUGGUGGUGGAAAGAUUUUUUGGUUGGGGAUGGACUCGCGGCCUAUCAGCUUGUUGGUGAGGUAAUGGCUCACCAAGGCGACGACGGGUAGCCGGCCUGAGAGGGUGACCGGCCACACUGGGACUGAGACACGGCCCAGACUCCUACGGGAGGCAGCAGUGGGGAAUAUUGCACAAUGGGCGAAAGCCUGAUGCAGCAACGCCGCGUGAGGGAUGACGGCCUUCGGGUUGUAAACCUCUUUUAGUAGGGAAGAAGCGAAAGUGACGGUACCUGCAGAAGAAGCACCGGCUAACUACGUGCCAGCCGCCGCCGUAA
This 483-nucleotide ribosomal RNA is filed under the name uncultured bacterium. RNAcentral describes it as "partial 16S ribosomal RNA". It matches the Rfam family "Bacterial small subunit ribosomal RNA", at positions 28 to 523 of the family's 1533-position model. The record is from RNAcentral.